This 549-nucleotide ribosomal RNA is filed under the name uncultured Glomus. RNAcentral describes it as "SSU rRNA". It matches the Rfam family "Eukaryotic small subunit ribosomal RNA", at positions 548 to 1098 of the family's 1831-position model. The record is from RNAcentral. Lineage: Eukaryota; Fungi; Glomeromycota; Glomeromycetes; Glomerales; Glomeraceae.
UUGGAGGGCAAGUCUGGUGCCAGCAGCCGCGGUAAUUCCAGCUCCAAUAGCGUAUAUUAAAGUUGUUGCAGUUAAAAAGCUCGUAGUUGAAUUUCGGGGUUAGUAGGUUGGUCAUGCCUCUGGUAUGUACUGAUCUCACUGAUCCCUCCCUCUUGACGAACUGUAAUGUCAUUAAUUUGGUGUUGCAGGAAAUCAGGACUGUUACUUUGAAAAAAUUAGAGUGUUUAAAGCAGGCUAAGGCUUGAAUACAUUAGCAUGGAAUAAUGAAAUAGGACGUUUGAUCCUAUUUUGUUGGUUUCUAGGAUCGACGUAAUGAUUAAUAGGGAUAGUUGGGGGCAUUAGUAUUCAAUUGUCAGAGGUGAAAUUCUUGGAUUUAUUGAAGACUAACUACUGCGAAAGCAUUUGCCAAGGAUGUUUUCAUUAAUCAAGAACGAAAGUUAGGGGAUCGAAGACGAUCAGAUACCGUCGUAGUCUUAACCAUAAACUAUGCCGACUAGGGAUCGGAUGAUGUUAAUUUUUUAAUGACUCAUUCGGCGCCUUACGGGAAAC